UUCCGGUUGAUCCCGCCGGAGSCAUUGCUAUCGGAGUCCGAUUUAGCCAUGCUAGUCGUACGAGUUCAUACUCGUGGCGGAAAGCUCAGUAACACGUGGCCAAACUACCCUGUGGACAGGGAUACUCUCGGGAAACUGAGGCUAAUCCCUGAUACAACUUCCAUGCUGGAAUGCAGGAAGUUGGAAAUGCUCCGGCGCCACAGGAUGUGGCUGCGGCCGAUUAGGUAGACGGUGGGGUAACGGCCCACCGUGCCAGUAAUCGGUACGGGUGAUGAGAGUCAGAGCCCGGAGACGGUAUCUGAGACAAGAUACCGGGCCCUACGGGGCGCAGAGGGCGCGAACACCUUUACACUGCACGACAGCGAAUAGGGGGACUCCGAGUGCGAGGGCAUACAGUCCUCGCUUUUCUGUACCGUAAGUGGUACAGGAACAAGUGCUGGGCAAGACCGGUGCCAGCCGCCGCGGUAAUACCGGCAGCACAAGUGAUGGCCGAUAUUAUUGGGCCUAAAGCGUUCGUAGCCGGCCGGACAAGUCCGUUGGGAAAUCCACGCGCUCAACGCGUGGGCGUCCAGCGGAAACUGUCCGGCUUGGGGCCGGAAGACUCGAGGGGUACGUCCGGGGUAGGAGUGAAAUCCCGUAAUCCUGGACGGACCACCGGUGGCGAAGSGUCUCGAGAGGACGGACCCGACGGUGAGGAACGAAAGCCAGGGUCUCGAACCCGGAUUAGAUACCCGGGUAG
RNAcentral lists this ribosomal RNA (739 nucleotides) under uncultured archaeon. RNAcentral's name for it is "bacterial SSU rRNA". It matches the Rfam family "Archaeal small subunit ribosomal RNA", at positions 1 to 744 of the family's 1478-position model. The record is from RNAcentral.